AUGAACCGGCAAUGUAUGUACGGUUCAAGACACACCUCCGAGUACAUUAAGGGCGUGCAUGAUUUUCUCGAAGUGGCUGAGGCAAACAAGCAGAAUGGUUUUAUGUGUUGUCCAUGCCCUAUAUGUGAGAAUACAAAGUGUUACUCUGACCGGAAAAUCCUCCACACCCACCUGCUUUACAAGGGUUUCAUGCCACACUAUAAUGUUUGGACGAGGCACGGAGAAAUAGGGGUUAUGAUGGAAGACGGCGAAGAAGAAGAGUGCGAUGACAACUAUGUGCCCCCUGAAUACGGUGAUGCUACUGAAGAUCAAGAGGAACCAGACGAUGUGCACGAUGAUGCUGCAACGGGCGAAGCUGCUGAAGAUCAAGAGGAACCAGACGAUGUGCCCGAUGAUGAUGAUCUCCGCCGGGUCAUUGUCGAUGCAAGGAUGCAAUGCGAAAGUCAAAAGGAGAAGCUGAAGUUUGAUCGCAUGUUAGAGGACCACAAAAAAGGGUUGUACCCCAAUUGCGAAGAUGGCAACACAAAGCUCGGUACCGUACUGGAAUUGCUGCAGUGGAAGGCAGAGAAUGCUGUGCCUAACAAAGGAUUUGAGAAGCUACUGAAAAUAUUGAAGGAGAAGCUUCCAAAGGAUAACGAAUUGCCCGACAGUACAUACGCAGCAAAGAAGAUCGUAUGCCCUCUAGGAUUGGAGGUGCAGAAGAUACAUGCAUGCCCUAAUGACUGCAUCCUCUUCCGCGGUGCGUACAAGGAUCUGAACGCAUGCCCGGUAUGCGGUGCAUUACGGUAUAAGAUCAGACGAGAUGACCCUGGUGAUGUUGACGGCGAGCCCCCCAGGAAGAGGGUUCCUGCGAAGGUGAUGUGGUAUGCUCCUAUAAUACCAUGGUUGAAACGUCUGUUCAGAAACGUAGAGCAUGCUAAGUUGAUGCGAUGGCACAGUGAGCACCGUAAGAAAGACGGGAAGUUAAGAGCACCCGCUGACGGGUCGCAGUGGAGAAAAAUCGAGAGAAAGUACUGGGAUGAGUUUGCAAGUGAGCCAAGGAACGUAUGGUUUGCUUUAAGCGCGGAUGGCAUUAAUCCUUUCGGGGAGCAGAGCAGCAAUCACAGCACCUAG
RNAcentral lists this ribosomal RNA (1113 nucleotides) under Triticum aestivum (bread wheat). RNAcentral's name for it is "partial small subunit ribosomal RNA". The record is from RNAcentral. Lineage: Eukaryota; Viridiplantae; Streptophyta; Magnoliopsida; Poales; Poaceae.